UUGCAGCACUAGGAUAUUUUGGCACC
This 26-nucleotide non-coding RNA is filed under the name Mus musculus (house mouse). Lineage: Eukaryota; Metazoa; Chordata; Mammalia; Rodentia; Muridae. The record is from RNAcentral.